Molecule: microRNA, 22 nt
Filed under: Aedes aegypti (yellow fever mosquito)
Lineage: Eukaryota; Metazoa; Arthropoda; Insecta; Diptera; Culicidae
Description: Aae-Mir-193-P1_5p* (star (passenger))
Source: RNAcentral
UGGGAUUUUGUGGACCAGAAGA